Molecule: ribosomal RNA, 468 nt
Filed under: uncultured bacterium
Lineage: Bacteria
Description: partial 16S ribosomal RNA
Rfam family: Bacterial small subunit ribosomal RNA
Source: RNAcentral
GACGAACGCUGGCGGCGUGCUUAACACAUGCAAGUCGAACGGAAAGGCCCUGCUUUUGUGGGGUGCUCGAGUGGCGAACGUGUGAGUAACACGAGAGUAACCUGCCCUUGACUUUGGGAUAACUUCAGGAAACUGGGGCUAAUACCGGCUAGGAGCUCCUGCUGCAUGGUGGGGGUUGGAAAGUUUCGGCGGUUGGGGAUGGACUCGCGGCUUAUCAGCUUGUUGGUGGGGUAGUGGCUUACCAAGGCUUUGACGGGUAGCCGGCCUGAGAGGGUGACCGGCCACAUUGGGACUGAGAUACGGCCCAGACUCCUACGGGAGGCAGCAGUGGGGAAUAUUGCACAAUGGGCGGAAGCCUGAUGCAGCAACGCCGCGUGCGGGAUGACGGCCUUCGGGUUGUAAACCGCUUUCGCCUGUGACGAAGCGUGAGUGACGGUAAUGGGUAAAGAAGCACCGGCUAACUACGUG